Molecule: ribosomal RNA, 1033 nt
Filed under: uncultured bacterium
Lineage: Bacteria
Description: bacterial SSU rRNA
Rfam family: Bacterial small subunit ribosomal RNA
Source: RNAcentral
CUCCUACGGGAGGCAGCAGUGGGGGAUAUUGGACAAUGGGGGCAACCCUGAUCCAGCGACGCCGCGUGAGGGAAGAAGGUUUUCGGAUUGUAAACCUCUGUUGACGGAGAAAAAAAUGAUGGUAUCCGUUUAGAAAGCCACGGCUAACUACGUGCCAGCAGCCGCGGUAAUACGUAGGUGGCAAGCGUUGUCCGGAAUUACUGGGUGUAAAGGGAGUGUAGGCGGGAUGUCAAGUCAGAAGUGAAAAUUACGGGCUCAACUCGUAACCUGCUUUUGAAACUGACAUUCUUGAGUGAAGUAGAGGCAAGCGGAAUUCCUAGUGUAGCGGUGAAAUGCGUAGAUAUUAGGAGGAACACCAGUGGCGAAGGCGGCUUGCUGGGCUUUUACUGACGCUGAGGCUCGAAAGCGUGGGGAGCAAACAGGAUUAGAUACCCUGGUAGUCCACGCCGUAAACGAUGAUUACUAGGUGUGGGGGGAUUGACCCCUUCCGUGCCGGAGUAAACACAAUAAGUAAUCCACCUGGGGAGUACGACCGCAAGGUUGAAACUCAAAGGAAUUGACGGGGGCCCGCACAAGCAGUGGAGUAUGUGGUUUAAUUCGACGCAACGCGAAGAACCUUACCAGGUCUUGACAUCAAGUGACAGUCUAAGAGAUUAGACCUUCCCUUCGGGGACACAAAGACAGGUGGUGCAUGGUUGUCGUCAGCUCGUGUCGUGAGAUGUUGGGUUAAGUCCCGCAACGAGCGCAACCCUUAUCAUUAGUUGCUACGCAAGAGCACUCUAAUGAGACUGCCGUUGACAAAACGGAGGAAGGUGGGGAUGACGUCAAAUCAUCAUGCCCUUUAUGACCUGGGCUACACACGUACUACAAUGGCGUUUAACAAAGAGAAGCAAAGCCGCGAGGCAGAGCAAAUCUCCAAAAAACGUCUCAGUUCGGAUUGUAGGCUGCAACUCGCCUACAUGAAGUCGGAAUUGCUAGUAAUCGUAGGUCAGCAUACUACGGUGAAUACGUUCCCGGGCCUUGUACACACCGC